Molecule: ribosomal RNA, 775 nt
Filed under: uncultured Neocallimastigales
Lineage: Eukaryota; Fungi; Neocallimastigomycota; Neocallimastigomycetes; Neocallimastigales
Description: partial large subunit ribosomal RNA
Rfam family: Eukaryotic large subunit ribosomal RNA
Source: RNAcentral
GAGACUCUGUGCGCGUGCAUAUCAAUAAGCGGAGGAAAAGAAACUAACAAGGAUUCCCUUAGUAACGGCGAGUGAAGCGGGAAGAGCUCAAAUUUGGAAAUCUUCAAGGUUCUACCUUGACGAAUUGUAGUUUAUAGAAGUGUUUUCUGUUAGUAGAGUGGCAAAAGUUCUUUGGAAUAGGACAUCAUAGAGGGUGAGAAUCCCGUAUUUGGUCAUUCUUUCUAGCUUUGUGAUACACUUUCAACGAGUCGGAUUGUUUGGGAAUGCAGUCCAAAAUGGGUGGUAAAUUUCAUCUAAAGCUAAAUAUUGGCGAGAGACCGAUAGCGAACAAGUACCGUGAGGGAAAGAUGAAAAGAACUUUGAAAAGAGAGUUAAACAGUACGUGAAAUUGUCAAAAGGGAAGCGUUUGACACCAGUGUUGUUUUUCCGAAAAUCAAUUACGAAUGUUUUAUUUUUGAGAAGUUAUGACUUCAUCGGCUUGCUUCUCUCUUUAUGAAACUUUCUUAAUGCACUUUUCGGUUAACAAGUCAACAUCAAUUUCUUUUGUUGUAAAAGGGUAUGAGGAAGGUGGCUUUCUUUUCGGAGAGAGUGUUUAUAGCCUUGUACCUCUGCAAUCGGAGAGAUUGAGGUCUGCAGCGUAGAUCCUUCGGGGUUAGAUACAUUUGUGCUAAGUUAUAGCUUUUCAUAGACAACUUGUUGACUAUGUUUAGUCUUGUAGCUUACUCGCUUAUGCUAUUUUACCUACGCUUAGGAUGUUGAACUCUAUCACACACAG